UACGUAGGGGGCUAGCGUUAUCCGGAAUUACUGGGCGUAAAGGGUGCGUAGGUGGUUUCUUAAGUCAGAGGUGAAAGGCUACGACUCAACCGUAGUAAGCCUUUGAAACUGGGGAACUUGAGUGCAGGAGAGGAGAGUGGAAUUCCUAGUGUAGCGGUGAAAUGCGUAGAUAUUAGGAGGAACACCAGUUGCGAAGGCGGCUCUCUGGACUGUAACUGACACUGAGGCACGAAAGCGUGGGGAGCAAACAGG
RNAcentral lists this ribosomal RNA (252 nucleotides) under uncultured bacterium. RNAcentral's name for it is "partial 16S ribosomal RNA". It matches the Rfam family "Bacterial small subunit ribosomal RNA", at positions 524 to 776 of the family's 1533-position model. The record is from RNAcentral.